GACUAACGCUGGCGGCGUGCCUAACACAUGCAAGUCGAGCGAUGAAAGCUAGAAGAUUACUUCGGUAUGAAACUAGAAGGAUUAGCGGCGGACGGGUGAGUAACGCGUGAGCAACCUACCUUAUACAAAGGGAUAGCCUCGGGAAACUGGGAUUAAUACCAUAUAAGACUACGAUAUCGCAUGAUAAAGUAGUUAAAGUGAUUAAGCGGUAUAAGAUGGGCUCGCGUCUGAUUAGCUAGUUGGUGAGAUAAAAGCUCACCAAGGCAACGAUCAGUAGCCGGCUUGAGAGAGUGAACGGCCACAUUGGGACUGAGACACGGCCCAAACUCCUACGGGAGGCAGCAGUGGGGAAUAUUGCACAAUGGGGGAAACCCUGAUGCAGCGACGCCGCGUGAAUGAUGAAGGCCUUCGGGUCGUAAAAUUCUGUCCUAAGGGAAGAUAAUGACGGUACCUUAGGAGGAAGCCCCGGCUAAUUACGUGCCAGCCGCCGCCGUAAAAC
This 499-nucleotide ribosomal RNA is filed under the name uncultured bacterium. RNAcentral describes it as "bacterial SSU rRNA". It matches the Rfam family "Bacterial small subunit ribosomal RNA", at positions 28 to 526 of the family's 1533-position model. The record is from RNAcentral.